AGGCUGCGAGGUCAAGUAACAGAGAACAUGAGCUUCUGCCUCCAGAUGUGCCAGGGUGUGUCUCUAUAAACUUGGAUUUUAGCCAGGAACGAUGGCUCAGGCAUGUAAUCAGCUCUGGAAGCUGAAGGAUACCUUGAGCCCAGGAGUUUGAGGCUGCAGUGAGCUAGGAUCUGACCACUACACUCCAGCCUGGAUGACAGAAAGAGAUCUUGUCUCAGAAAUGAAUAAAGAAAAUUUAAAAAUAAAAA
Molecule: long non-coding RNA, 248 nt
Filed under: Macaca fascicularis (crab-eating macaque)
Lineage: Eukaryota; Metazoa; Chordata; Mammalia; Primates; Cercopithecidae
Description: HLA complex group 9
Source: RNAcentral